RNAcentral lists this ribosomal RNA (240 nucleotides) under uncultured bacterium. RNAcentral's name for it is "partial 16S ribosomal RNA". It matches the Rfam family "Bacterial small subunit ribosomal RNA", at positions 529 to 769 of the family's 1533-position model. The record is from RNAcentral.
AGGGGGCUAGCGUUGUCCGGAUUUACUGGGCGUAAAGGGUGAGUAGGCGGUUACAUAUGUCAGAUGUAAAAGGCUAAGGCUUAACCAUAGUAUGCAUUUGAAACUGUGUGACUUGAGUACAGGAGAGGUAAGCGGAAUUCCUAGUGUAGCGGUGAAAUGCGUAGAUAUUGGGAGGAACACCAGUAGCGAAGGCGGCUUUCUGGACUGUAACUGACACUGAGGCACGAAAGCGUGGGGAGC